CCCUUAGAUGUUCUGGGCUGCACGCGCGCUACACUGAUGCGUUCAACGAGUCCAUGACCUUGCCCGGCAGGGUUGGGUAAUCUUCUGAAAACGCAUCGUGAUGGGGAUAGAUUAUUGCAAUUAUUAAUCUUCAACGAGGAAUUCCUAGUAAGCGCGAGUCAUCAGCUCGUGCUGAUUACGUCCCUGCCCUUUGUACACACCGCCCGUCGCACCUACCGAUCGAAUGGUCCGGUGAAAUCUUUGGACUGUGGCAUUGUGGAUCUUCGGAUUUACGUUGCUGUGGGAAGUUGAUUAAACCUUACCAUUUAGAGGAAGGUGAAGUCGUAACA
This 329-nucleotide ribosomal RNA is filed under the name uncultured eukaryote. RNAcentral's name for it is "partial 18S ribosomal RNA". It matches the Rfam family "Eukaryotic small subunit ribosomal RNA", at positions 1470 to 1796 of the family's 1831-position model. The record is from RNAcentral.